UGCCUAUAAUGGGGGAUAACUAUUGGAAACGGUAGCUAAUACCGCAUAAUGUCGAAAGACCAAAGUGGGGGACCUUUAUGGCCUCACGUUAUUAGAUGUGCCCAGAUGAGAUUAGCUAGUAGGUAAGGUAAUGGCUUACCUAGGCUACGAUCUCUAGCUGGUCUGAGAGGAUGACCAGCCACACUGGAACUGAGACACGGUCCAGACUCCUACGGGAGGCAGCAGUGGGGAAUAUUGCACAAUGGGCGAAAGCCUGAUGCAGCUAUACCGCGUGUGUGAAGAAGGCCUUAGGGUUGUAAAGCACUUUCAGCAAGGAGGAAGGAUAAUAUAUUAAUACUAUAUUAUAUUGACGUUACUUGCAAAAGAAGCACCGGCUAACUCCGUGCCAGCAGCCGCGGUAAUACGGAGGGUGCGAGCGUUAAUCGGAAUUACUGGGCGUAAAGCGCACGUAGGUGGUUUAUUAAGUCAGAUGUGAAAUCCCUGCGCUUAACGUAGGAACUGCAUUUGAAACUAAUGAACUAGAGUCUUGUAGAGGGGGGUAGAAUUCCAGGUGUAGCGGUGAAAUGCGUAGAGAUCUGGAGGAAUACCAGUGGCGAAGGCGGCCCCCUGGACAAAGACUGACACUCAGGUGCGAAAGCGUGGGGAGCAAACAGGAUUAGAUACCCUGGUAGUCCACGCUGUAAACGAUGUCGAUUUGGAGGUUGUAUCCUUGAGAUAUGGCUUCCGGAGCUAACGCGUUAAAUCGACCGCCUGGGGAGUACGGCCGCAAGGUUAAAACUCAAAUGAAUUGACGGGGGCCCGCACAAGCGGUGGAGCAUGUGGUUUAAUUCG
RNAcentral lists this ribosomal RNA (831 nucleotides) under Serratia symbiotica. Its description in RNAcentral is "bacterial SSU rRNA". It matches the Rfam family "Bacterial small subunit ribosomal RNA", at positions 127 to 953 of the family's 1533-position model. The record is from RNAcentral. Lineage: Bacteria; Pseudomonadati; Pseudomonadota; Gammaproteobacteria; Enterobacterales; Yersiniaceae.